This 7349-nucleotide long non-coding RNA is filed under the name Panax ginseng (ginseng). RNAcentral's name for it is "long non-coding RNA (PGIN_LNC018904)". Lineage: Eukaryota; Viridiplantae; Streptophyta; Magnoliopsida; Apiales; Araliaceae. The record is from RNAcentral.
CUUAACAAUUUUUAUGACUGACGGAUCCGGUUUAAAUGUAAAAUUCACCCAUCUUCCACCUCUGGCUAUAAUCCACGCUCAGGAAUUAGCAUUUUACCAGAAAGCCAAUUGUGAUACCUUUCGGACACACUAGCACUUGUGAAUCUCUUUUUGUCAAACUUUGUUGAAGUGAGGAAAGGAAGUAUGAGUUUCACGUGGUGUACGAAGAGAAAAGAGAGGAGUUUUAGAUGAACUAGGAGAGAAAAUAGAAUUUGAUUUGGGUUGAAAGGAGUUAUGCCCGAUUAAGGCUUAAUUUUUUUUUAAAGUCUGGGCAGGUGCGCCUAGGCGCUUGAUUUUGUAUGGGAUUGGCCACCUAAGCGCUUGAAGACAGAACGUGUUGGUCCGGUAUAGCGAUUAAGCGCCUGGAAUGGGCAUGGAGUGAGUGCUUUGACGCUUGGGGAUUGCUGAGUGUUCUGCAUUUGAACGCCUAGGCGCUUGUGCCUGACUUGGUGGAUUAUGUGCAUCUUCCAUGCUUCAAAUCUGCAUAUCAAAGCUUCAAUUCUCAGUUUUUAGAUUACGAGUUAUACUAAAACCCUAAACUAAGAUAAAAUAUGAUUAAUUUCUUUUAUUUUAGUAUGUUAGUUUAGUUAACUCUAUAUUUUAUCUUAGUUUAGGGUUUGAGUAUAAGUUGUAAUCUCCUUGCAAACAAAAACUUAGAAUUGAAGCUUUGAUAUGUAGGUUGGAAGCAUGGAAGACACACAAAUUGAGAAUUGAAGCUUUGAUAUGUAGGUUGGAAACAUGGAAGACGUACAAAAUCCACCAAGUCAGUCCCAAGCGCUUAGGCGCCCAAACCAUGCACAAAACAAGCGACUAGGCGCUCAAAUGCAAAACACUCAACAUUCCCCAAACGCCUUGGCGCUACACCUGACUAACACAUUCUGUCUUCAAGCGCUUAGGCGGUCAAUCCCAUUCAAAAUCAAGCGCCAAGCUCCUGCUAAGACUUUGAAAAAAAAAUUAAACCCUAAUCGGGAAUCACUCCUUUCAACCCAAAUCGAACUAUUUUCUCUCCUAGUUCAUCUAUAACUCCUCUAUUUUCUCUUCCUACACCACGUGAAACUCAUACUUCCCUUUCCUCAUUGUUAGUGCAUCCGAAAGGUAUCAGAAUUGGCUUUCUGGUAAAACGCUAAUUCCUGAGCGUGGAUUAUUGCCAGAGGCAGAAGAUUGGGAGUUACUACAAAUGAUUGAAAACAGAAGAUGGGUAAAUUUUACAGCUCAACCGGAUCCGUCGGUCAUAAAAAUUGUUAAGGAAUUCUACGCCAAUGCAAAAGAUGUUGUCAGUAACAUGGUUUGGGUUCGCGGAAAAUUAGUGGAGGUCAGUUUCACGACAAUAAAUGCUUACUACGGCUUGGACAGAAUACCUAGAAAUGGCUACAUGCAAUAUCUAGAGCACGAGCUGGAUUAUAGUGAGGUCAUUCAAGCAUUGUGAGUACCCGGAACAAAAUGGAAAUUAACAGAUCAGCAAAAAACAGCUUUUUCCUACAUCCGCACUAAGUAACGGGAAAGCAUGACAUGGCUUUAUUUGUGCCAAGUUGAUGUCGUGUAGGCAUAUGAGUGAUGUCAUAAAUCAACGGGCAGCGUUGCUUUUCGCCAUUGUAAAAGGAAAAACUAUAGAUGUGGGUCAGGCUAUACAUGAUUCAAUCGACAGAGCAAUUCAAGGAGGGACUUUAGGUGUAUGCCUCAUCCAUCUUUGAUUAUUGGACUAUGUCAACAAGUUGGAGUAAAGUGGGAAGGCAAGGAAGCUAGACAACCUCCUUUAGCCCCAAUUGACAUUUCGGUUAUAAAAAAAGUACAAGGUAUGUGUUGGGGGUAAACCACACCCGAGAGGAUUAGGUUUCAUUAUUGUGCCUCCAGAUCCUGUUGACGAGCCUAAUGAACAGUCAAAUGACAAUCCUACUGCAGUUGAGAGUUACGUGCCAACACCAAAUUUUUUGAGGAUAUUCGUCGAGAAUUGAGACAUCAAACUAGACGGAUUGACAUGGUGGCUACCCAAAUUCAACAGGGUUUUGACCGGGUGGAUAGGAAGCAGAAUAGACUGGCUCAGCGACAAGUGGAAAUAUAUCAGAACUGUAAUGCAUCAUUCAUAGAUAUGUUCAACCGCAUGUAUCCAGCAGGCGUUCCUUACCAAUUCCGACCAGCUUCAUCCUUGUCUGUGUACCCUCGACUGACUUAUCCCCUGUGAGGAUAAGGUUGAUGAAGAAGAAGUAGAGGAUGUUGACAAGGAGUAAGGCUUCGAUCUUUCAGGGAAGUCUUCAGUACCUAAUUUCUUAUGUUUUUUUUAUAUACAAUGAGGACAUUGCAUAUGUUAAGUUUGGGGGUGCAUUCUUUUAGUUGUAUUGCAAUCAUUUAGUUGCAUUUAUUUAGUAUUUGCAUUCGUUUAUCAUAACUCAUUCAUCUUGUAGUUUUGCAUGUAAUUGUCAUUCUAAUUUCUAAAAAAAUGCAUGAAUCCGAGCAUGUCAAUUAGUACGAGUUUGACUUGGCCAAUGAUGAGAUUGGGAUCACGUAUACAUUUGAACAGUAUUACAACUGAUACAUGAAUGUAGUGUCGUAUCAUGAUGUAAAUCUUAUCCUGUUUGAAACUGAUGUAACAAGAUAGCACGUUAGGUUGAUCAAAUUAGUUUAAAUGAUCGCAUAAUUGUUUCUUGGGGGAAGUCUUGGUUUUAAUGGAGGGAAAUCAGUAAACUUGUAGUAAAAGCUAGGAUGACGCAAAAAUUUAAGUUUGGGGGAAAAUAUGAUAUUUUUAAAUUAAAAAUAAAUAAAUAAAUAAUUCAAGAAAAAAAUCCAUAUGAAUAAACACGUUGACUGGUUUAGUUCUGUGUCCUUUGUUACUGGAGUAAGUAAGCCCUUAAGGGUGUCUCUACACCCAGCGCCCUAAAACCAUCUGGUUUGAGAGUCGUUGGUCGAAAGCUCGUUACAUAGGUAAUAUUGAAAUGCCUAAGAGAACUAGACAUUGUACAGUCAAGUGUAAACACGAGAAAGAGCAUAAAUGCCCUCGUGAGCAAAGAAAAGAAGAAAUAAAUCCUGUAUUGACUUUGAAUUGGGUGAUCGAGUAGUUUUAGCUGGAGCUUAACUUGUGAACGGAGUUUUUAAAGUUAAAAUUGUGUUUUUUUUCUCUAAGAAGCAUAUUAUGCGAUGUAUUUGAACUGUAGUUUAUUUUAAUGGUUGCUAAGCACACACACCAUGCAUCAGUAAUAACAGGCUUUGAUUUAUGGAUUGGUAUGGGUUAUUGAAUUGUCUUGUUUGGAUGUGUUGUUUGAAUCUAUUGUUGAUACCUCCGAGGCAUAUUUGUUUGAUUUCGUACUGACUGAUGGUUGGAUUUGUAGGCAUAUAGUUAAGAUGCAUUUUUUAUUUGCAUUGCUUGGGGACAAGCAAUUGGUUAAGUUUGGGGGUAUUUGAUGAGUAGGUUUUAUACCUAUGAAUUCGAUAUUAUUAAACUUAAUUAUUGAUAUCUUUAAGUGUUUAGUAUCUCUUUGUGUUUUUUGUGUUUAUUUCUUGUAGGUUGGAAGGACAAAUUGGUCAUUUGGAAGAAGAAAAAGAUCAAAAAUCAUUAAAAUUAGAGCUGAGUGACAUUUUUGUAAUACGUGGUCCUGACCAAGCUCCUAGUUGCUUGGAUUUUUACUUGGUUGAGCGCCUAGGCGCUCAUGCACGAUCAAAGUUGGAUUUUAAAUGCAAGAUAUAAUAAAUAAUUCAAUAAAAACCAACUUUCAUUCAAUGGGAAGGUUUAAUUUAAACUAUAUACCAAGUUCCGUUGCAAUCUUAAUUAAAAUUUACUUAAUGAUAAUAAAGGAAAACAUUAUGCAAAUUAAUAAUCCAGACAUCCUAGUUAAUUACAAAUAUAAAAUUAGAGAAAAGAUUAGAUGAACUUGUCAGAUUGCUCCUAGUCCUCUACUUGUUCUUUAGCCUCUGCAAUAUCCUUCGUGUUCUCCCCGUUGGUCUCUUUGCAAAUCUCUUAAUAAUCUCCUUCCUGAAGUCUUUUCCUAUUUGUAUUGGUCCCAACCCUCAUCAAGAUUCCUAAUUAGCUUCAAAAACAACUCAGCAGUAGAAAAAUGCCAUUCGGCUCUAAUUUUAAUGAUUUUUGAUCUUUUUCUUCUUUUAAAUGACCAAUUUGUCCCUCCAACUCCAACCUUCAAGAAAUAAACACAAAAACACAUAAAAAGAUACUAAAUACACUUAAAGAUGACAAUAAUUAAGUUUAAUAAUAUCGGAUUCAUAGGUAUAAAGCCUACUCAUCAAAUACCCCAAACUUAAUCAAUUCCUUGUCCCCAAGCAAUGCAAAAAAAAAAGCAUCCUAACUAUAUGCGUACAAAUCCAGCCAUCUGUCAGUACGAAAUCAAACAAAUAUACCUCAGGGGUAUCAACAAUAGAUUCAAACAAUACAUCCAAACAAGACAAUUCAAUAACUCAUACCAAUCCAUAAAUCAAAUCUUGUUAUUACUGAUGCAAGGUGUGUAUGCUUAGCAACCAUUAAAAUCAACUAUAGUUUAAAUAUAUUGCAUAAUAUGCUUCUUAGAGGAAAAGAUACAGUUUUAAGUUAGGAAACUUCGUUCACAAACUAAGCUCCAACUAAAUUUACACAAUAACCAAAUUCAGAGUCAAUACGGUAUUUAUUUCUUCUUUUAUUUGCUCACGAGGGCAUUUAUGAUCUUUCUUGUGUUUACACUUGACUGUGCAAUGUCUAGUUCUAUUAGGCUUUUCAAUGUUAUCCAUGUAACGAGCUUUCGACCAAUGAGUCCAAAACUAGAUGGCUUUAGGGCGCUGAGUGUAGAGACACCCCUAAGGGCUUACUCCAGUAACAAAGGCCACAAAACUAAACUAGUCAACAUGUUUAUUCAUAUGAUUAUUUUUUGUAUUUUCUAUUUUUUUUCUUAUUUAAAAAUCCCAUAUUUUCCCCCAAACUUGAUUUUUUGCGUCAUCCUAACUUUUACUACAAGUUUACCGAUUUUCCUUCAUUAAAACCAAGAUUUCCCGAAGAAGACAAUUUUGCGAUCAUUUAAUCUAAGUUUAUCAAAAUGAUCAACCUAACGUGCUAUCUUGUUACAUCAGUUUCAAACAGGAUAAGAUUUACAUAAUUAUUCGACACUACAUUCAUGUCUCAGUUGUAAUACUGUUCAAAUGUAUACGCGAUCCCAAUCUCAUCAUUGGCCAAGUCAAACUCGCACUAAUUGACAUGUUCGGAUUCAUGCAUUUUUUUUAGAAAUUAGAAUGACAACUACAAAUGAGUUAUGAUAAACGAAUGCAAAUACUAAAUGAAUGCAACUAAAUGAUUGUAAUACAACUAGAAGAAUGCACCCCCAAACUUAACAUAUGCAAUGUCCUCAUUGUAUAUAAAAAAACCCAUAAGAAAUUAGGUAUUGAGGACUUCCUUGAAAGAUCGAAGCCUUACUCCUCGUCAGCAUCCUCUGCUUAUUCUUCAUCAACCUCAUCCUCAGGGGGUAAGUCAUUCGGGGUACACAGACAAGGGUGGAGGUGGUCGGAAUUGGUAAGGACCACCUGCUGGAUUCAUGCGGUUGAACAUCUCUAUGAAUGAUGCAUUAUAGUUCUGAUAUAUCUCCGCUUGUCGUUGAGCCAGUCUAUUCUGCUUCUUAUCCACCCGGUCAAAACCCUGUUCAAUUUGGGUGGCCACCAUGUCAAUCCGUCUAGUUUGAUGUCUCAAUUCUCGACGAAUAUCCUCAAAAAAAUUUGGUGCUGGCACGUAACUCUCAGUUGUAGUAGGAUUGUUUUUUGACUGUUCAUUAGUCUCGUCAACAGGAUCUGGAGGCACAAUAAUGAAACCUAAUCCUCUCGGGUGUGGCUUAACCCCAACCCAUACCUUGUACUUUUUUAUAACCGAGUGGUCAAUUGUGGCUAAAGGAGGUUGUCUUGCUUCCUCGGCUUCCCACUUUACUCCAACUUAUUGACACAGUCCAGUAAUCAAAAAUGGAUGAGACAGUCCACCUGAAGUCCCUCCUUGAAUUGUUCUGUCGAUUGAAUCAUGUAUAACCUGACCCACAUCUAUAGUUUUUCCUUUUGAAAUGUAGAAAAGCAACGCUGCCCGUUGAUUUAUGACAUCACUCAUAGGCCUACACGACAUCAACUUGGCACAAAUAAAGACAUGCCAUGCUUUCCCGUAACUACUCGGUGCGGAUGCAGGAAUAAGAACUGCUUCUUGCUGAUUCGGUAAUUUUCAUUUUGUUUCAGGUACACACAAUGCUUGAAUGAUCACACUAGCACUUGUGAAUCUCUUUUUGUCAAACUUUGUUGAAGUGAGGAAAGGAAGUAUGAGUUUCACGUGGUGUACGAAGAGAAAAGAGAGGAGUUUUAGAUGAACUAGGAGAGAAAAUAGAGUUUGAUUUGGGUUGAAAGGAGUGAUGCCCGGUUAAGGCUUAAUUUUUUUUUUUAAAGUCUGGGCAGGAGUGCCUAGGCACUUGAUUUUGUAUGGGAUUGACCGCCUAGGCGCUUGAUGACAGAACGUGUUGGUCAAGUAUAGCGACUAGGCGCUUGGAAUGGGCAUGGAGUGAGUGCUUAGACGCUUGGGGAUUGCUGAGUGUUCUGCAUUUGAACACCUAGGCGCUUGUGCCUGACUUGGUGGAUUUUGUGCGUCUUCCAUGCUUCAAACCUGCAUAUCAAAGCUUCAAUUCUCAGUUUUUAGAUUACGAGUUAUACUAAAACCCUAAACUAAGAUAAAAUAUGAUUAAUUUCUUUUAUUUUAGUAUGUUAGUUUAGUUAACUAUAUAUUUUAUCUUAGUUUAGGGUUUGAGUAUAAGUUGUAAUCUCCUUGCAAACAAAAACUGAGAAUUGAAGCUUUGAUAUGUAGGUUGGAAGCAUGGAAGACACAAAUUGAGAAUUGAAGCUUUGAUAUGUAGGUUGGAAACAUGGAAGACGUACAAAAUCCACCAAGUCAGUCCCAAGCGCUUAGGCGCCCAAACCAUGCACAAAACAAGCGACUAGGCGCUCAAAUGCAGAACACUCAACAUUCCCUAAACGCCUAGGCGCUACACUUGACUAACACGUUCUGUCUUCAAGCCCCUAGGCGGUCAAUCCCAUUUAAAAUCAAGCGCCAAGCUCCUGCUAAGACUUUGAAAAAAAAUUUAAGCCCUAAUCGAGCAUCACUCCUUUCAACCCAAAUCAAACUAUUUUCUCUCCUAGUUCAUCUAAAACUCCUCUAUUUUCUCUUCCUACACCACGUGAAACUCAUACUUCCCUUUCUUCACUGUUAAUGCGUCCGAAAGGUAUCAGAAUUGGCUUUCUGGUAAAACGCUAAUUCCUGAGCGUGGAUUAUUGCCAGAGGCAGAAGAUGGGGAGUUGCUACAAAUGAUUGGAAGCAAAGAUGGGUG